GAUGAACGCUGGCGGCGUGCCUAAUACAUGCAAGUCGAGCGAACAGACGAGGAGCUUGCUCCUCUGACGUUAGCGGCGGACGGGUGAGUAACACGUGGAUAACCUACCUAUAAGACUGGGAUAACUUCGGGAAACCGGAGCUAAUACCGGAUAAUAUAUUGAGCCGCAUGGUUCAAUAGUGAAAGACGGUUUUGCUGUCACUUAUAGAUGGAUCCGCGCCGCAUUAGCUAGUUGGUAAGGUAACGGCUUACCAAGGCAACGAUGCGUAGCCGACCUGAGAGGGUGAUCGGCCACACUGGAACUGAGACACGGUCCAGACUCCUACGGGAGGCAGCAGUAGGGAAUCUUCCGCAAUGGGCGAGAGCCUGACGGAGCAACGCCGCGUGAGUGAUGAAGGUCUUCGGAUCGUAAAACUCUGUUAUUAGGGAAGAACAAAUGUGUAAGUAACUAUGCACGUCUUGACGGUACCUAAUCAGAAAGCCACGGCUAACUACGUG
This 497-nucleotide ribosomal RNA is filed under the name uncultured bacterium. RNAcentral's name for it is "partial 16S ribosomal RNA". It matches the Rfam family "Bacterial small subunit ribosomal RNA", at positions 28 to 507 of the family's 1533-position model. The record is from RNAcentral.